Paramuricea clavata is the source of this 660-nucleotide non-coding RNA. The record is from the annotation of a GenBank genome assembly. NCBI's taxonomy places the organism in Eukaryota, Metazoa, Cnidaria, Anthozoa, Malacalcyonacea, Plexauridae.
UGCGUUUUGAAGCAAUGAAGGUACAAGUAUCAGACUGGAGUAUUGAAACUGAAUUAGUUGUGAUUCGUGAAUGUAUUUUACUGAGGAAUUCAACAUUAAUUUACUUACCUCCAAACACGAGACUUAUCUGAUAUUAUUACACGGUUGCUGUGAAAUUUAAUAAUAGGUAAUAUGCAUUCAUACGAAUAAUACCACCACAACAAAUAUUACAUAGACUGUUACAUAUAUGAUACCUGCUAUAAGUAGUAUUCCUGUAAAGUUUAAUACUUUUACAAUAUCCAGUACCAGCUGUACUGUCAUGUACUGUUCAAAAUCGAGAAGCAGAGAGGAUGUAUAAUAUUCUGCGGGUUCAAUUUCCUUGUUUCAUAUUUGCCACGGCCCACAAUGAAUGAAUUUUUCGGUUUCAAAAACCGUUGAACUUAACUCAACGUAACGUGAUUGUUGGCAAAAUGCGAGCCAAAGUUUUAUUUAUAUGUAGAAAAUCAUUAUGAUUUUGCAAAACUGGCUGCAUAUCACUCAACGAUAGUGAAACUCUACGCUGUCGAAAUUUUGGCUGCGAAAUGUUUCUGAUAAACUUUGGCAUGGAUGAUUGCACAUGCUAAUUCUACAGGGUGUAUAAAAAAAGGCGCAACCUCGGAAUUUCCCAAGAAAUCGACUUUG